Molecule: ribosomal RNA, 465 nt
Filed under: uncultured bacterium
Lineage: Bacteria
Description: bacterial SSU rRNA
Rfam family: Bacterial small subunit ribosomal RNA
Source: RNAcentral
CCUACGGGAGGCAGCAGUGGGGAAUUUUGGACAAUGGGCGAAAGCCUGAUCCAGCAAUGCCGCGUGCAGGAUGAAGGCCUUCGGGUUGUAAACUGCUUUUGUACGGAACGAAAAAGCUCCUUCUAAUACAGGGGGGCCAUGACGGUACCGUAAGAAUAAGCACCGGCUAACUACGUGCCAGCAGCCGCGGUAAUACGUAGGGUGCGAGCGUUAAUCGGAAUUACUGGGCGUAAAGCGUGCGCAGGCGGUUAUGUAAGACAGAUGUGAAAUCCCCGGGCUCAACCUGGGAACUGCAUUUGUGACUGCAUGGCUAGAGUACGGUAGAGGGGGAUGGAAUUCCGCGUGUAGCAGUGAAAUGCGUAGAUAUGCGGAGGAACACCGAUGGCGAAGGCAAUCCCCUGGACCUGUACUGACGCUCAUGCACGAAAGCGUGGGGAGCAAACAGGAUUAGAUACCCCGGUAGUC